Macaca fascicularis (crab-eating macaque) is the source of this 1563-nucleotide long non-coding RNA. The record is from Ensembl. NCBI's taxonomy places the organism in Eukaryota, Metazoa, Chordata, Mammalia, Primates, Cercopithecidae.
UUUUUUUUUUUUUUUUGAGACAGGGUCUGGCUCUGUCACCCAGGCUGGAGUGCAGUGGCUCGAUCUCGGCUCACUGCAGCCUCUAUCUCCCAGCCUCCAGCCAUCCUCCCACCUCAGUCUCCUGAGUAGCUGGGACUACAGGCACAUGCCACCAUGCCUGGUUAAUUUUUUUUUUUGUAAAGACAGGAUUUUGCAAUGAACUCCUGAGGUCAAGCAAUUACCCACCUCAGCCUCCCAAAGUGUUGGGAUUACAUGUGUGAGCCACUGAACCCGGCCUCCACUUACCUCUUUUUUUUUUUUUUUUUGAGACGGAGUCUCGCUCUGUCACCCAGGCCGGAGUGCAAUGGUGUGAUCUCGGCUCACUGCAAGCUCCGCCUCCCAGGUUGAAGUAAUUCUUCUGCCUCAGCCUCCUGAGUAGCUGGGAUUACAGGCAAGCGCCACUACGCCUGGCUAAUUUUUGUAUUUUUAGUAGAGAUGGGGUUUCACCGUGUUGGCAAGGCUGGUCUCGAACUCCUGACCUUGUGAUCUGCCCACCUCGGCCUCCCAAAGUGCUGGGAUUAGAGGUGUGAGCCACCAGGCCUGGCCCACUUAUCUCUUAUAGACCCCAAUCCUGCAACCAAGUUUCAUCUCUGACCAAAAACUUCUCCUCUACCACCUUGCUGUAUGGACCAAGAUACCACCAUUGUCACUCAUGCUUUCCUGGCAUCUCAGGCUGGCACAUUCCUCAUCUAUUUUAAUCUUCCUUCAGACACCGUUUCUCUCCUAUGAUACCAUUAACUAGGAGUUGUCCACUCUCUACUUGAAUGCUCCUAGCAGUGAGGAUCUCCCUCCCUCCAGAGACAGCCUCCUUCAGCAGAGUCCAGCUAUCUCCUGUGCAGUUCUUCCUUAUAUUCAGCUCCUGCCUGCCUCUCCCAGGCCCCCACGCUCAGUCCUAGGUCUGUCCCUGGGGCCACCCAGAAGUGGUCUGCUCCGCCUACAUCCCCAUUCCCACAAGGAUGAAAUGUUCCUUAUAGGACAAGGUUUAUCCAUCAAUCCAUCAUUUCUUUUUUUUUUUUCUCAGACAGAGUCUCACUUUAUCGCCCAGGCUGGAGUGCAGUGGUGCAGUCUCGGCUAACUGCAAGCUUCACCUCCUGGGUUCAAGCGAUUCUCCUGCCUCAGCCUCCGGAGUAGCUGGGGCUACAGGCACGUGCCACCACACCUGUCUUAUUUUUGUAUUUUUAGUAGAGACAGGAUUUCACCUUGUUGGCCAGGCUGGUCUCAAACUCCUGACCUCAGGUGAUCUGCCCGCCUUGGCCUCCUAAAUGACUGGGAUUGCAGGUGUGAGCCACCAUGGCCGAGCCAUCAUUUCUUUAAGAAAAUAAAACACCUCUCUCUUUAAAUAUAUGCCUUUCUUUUUUUAAGUGGAAAAGUAAUCCAUGUGCAUUGUGGAAAAUAUGGGAAAUUUAUGUCAAAGUAGAAAGAUUAAAAUUACCCAUAAUUCCAACUCCCAGAAACAACCACUAUUAACUUUUACUUCUGUCUUCCUGUUCGUUUUUCCCAUAAUUGAGUGCAUAGUACAUAGAC